UGUCCCCGGUCUGCUGAGAGCACCAAGGGAAAUAAACCAUGCCUGUUUUCUUCAUCUCUGUAGUUGCAGCACCAACGGGGAAGUGCGUCACUGGGGCCAGGGUGUUUUCAUGAGGCCCUCUUUUCUGCUGCUCCAGGUCCCUCUGCAGGCUGCUCUCAUGGCCAGGAAGGAAUUCUCCAUGGCUCCUUUCCUCUCUCCCCCAUUAUUCUCGUAGAAAUCGGAGUCUAGCACUGGUGAAUCUGAUUGGCUUGACCUAGGCCUGCAUCCUAGCUUAAAAGAUGCUGGGAAGUUGAGUUCUGAUUUUUAGAAUGGAGAGGCAAGACUCACGACCUGGACAUUUCCAUAAAUAUAAAGAAAAAUAUUCAAAUGAUAUUUGAAGGUCACAAAUAUGUAAGAUGCCCUCUUUACUGCAAAACAGCCCCCUCUAUAAGCAGCGUCUAUGUGAAGUGGUUUCCUAGCUCAAUGCAAUGUGCCUACUGGGUUCUGAAUAAAUCCUUGUUGAGUGGAUCGCACUAGGAAAUUUAUAUUUUAAUUCAAACGUUCUGUAACUGCUGCUUAUAACAAGCACUGACUCCUUUCUUAAUCUCAAAGUUGUUAUAAGCAGGUACCCUUGAAAUAAACAGGUUAACUAGUGGUUUGUUUCAUAAAGGUCUAAACCACUGUGUACAAUGAAGGGCUUUUAAAAAUGCUAUGUUUUUUGCCAGGUAAAAAUUCGAUUAAGAAUUCAAACUAGCAAAAGAUGAUGCUAUUUUGCCCCAAAGAGAGUGGUUUCCUGGGUUUUAUGUCAUCUUGCUUUGCAACGUGUAGCCAAUUCUUCAGGGGUUUCAGAGAGAAAAAUCACAUGCCAGAUUCUGGAGUCAUAGUGACAUCUGGCGAAGAAAGGAGGGUCGCUCAGACAGUGAGUCCCCAUGAUCACAGUGUGUGUGGGUACUAGACCUAGCCAAAAAAACAAAACCAAACAAAUAGUAUGCAAUAAGUUAUGGACUCUUGUACAUUGUAAUGGAGCGAAUUCCUCAAAAGCUUAUGUUGUAUUAUAUAUUACUGUAUUAAUCUCUAAAUACACAGUCACUCAUUUAUUCAUGCACUGAUUUAUUCAUUAGUUAACAUAUGUUAAACACAUACUUCCCCGUUGGUGCUGCAACUGCAGAGAUGAAGAAAACAGGCAUGGUUUAUUUCCCUUGGUGCUCUCAGUUGAACAGGGACACAGAAUGCAAAAGGGAAUGUACCAGGGAGGUGUAGAAAGCUGUUUUAGGGGGUAGGGGAUGCUGCUCUUGUCUGCGAGAUGGGUGUGUUUAAGGAAAGCUUGCGUCUCAGUCCGUCUAUGCUGUGACAACUGAAGUCCUGGGUCUGGAUGAUUUAUAAACAAUAGAAAUGUAUUCCUGACAAUUCUGGAGGCUGGGAAAUCCAAGAUCAAGGCACCUGUAGGUUUGGUGGCUGGUGAGAGGUCCAGUUUCUCCUUCUAAGAUGCCACCUUGUUGCUAUGUGCUCUGUAGGGCAGAAUGCCGUCCUGACAUGGUAGAAGAGCAGAAGAGAAUGAACCCUGAUACGGUUGGGCUAUGUCCUCACUCAAAAUCUCAUCUUGAAUUGUAAUCCCCAUAAUCCCCAUGUGUCAAGGGAAAAACCAGGUGGAGGUAACUGAAUCAUGGGGGUGGUUUCCCCUACUCUGUUGUCGUGAUAGUGAGUUCUCACGAGAUCUGAUGGCUUUAUAAGUGUUGGGUCGUUCUUCCUGCAUUCAUUCUCCCCUUUGCUGCCCUGUGAAGAAGGUGCCUUGCUUUCCCUUUGCCUCCCGUCAUGAUUGUAAGUUUCCUGAGGUUUCCCCAGCCAUACAGAACUGUGAGUCAAUUAAACCUAUUUCUUUUUAAAAUUACCCAGACUUGGGCAGUUCUUUAUAGCAGUGGGAGAAUGGACUAGCACAAACCCAUUCCCUCAAGCCCUUCUAGAAAGGACCCAACCCCACUAUUGAGGGUUCUAUCCUGAGACUUAAAAGGCCCCCACCUCAUAAUCUGACCAUGUUGCCCAUUACAUUUCAACAUGUGAAUUCUGGAGGAUACAUUCAGAUCAUAGCAGCUUCCUAGAUGGAGUAACAUAGACGCUGAGUCUUGAGGAUGGGUAGAAGGUAGCUGGGUGAACAAUAGGAAAAAGGCAUUGUAGGCAGCAGGAAAAGCAAGUGCAAAGGCCCUGAGGCUGGAGGGAGUGUGUAGCAUCCACAGGAUGGAGGCCCAAGGGAGUGGAGCACAGUGAGGGAGGGGAAAGAUGGUGGGAAAUAAGGUCAGGGAGGGAGGCUAGGCCCUGGUAAGAAAUUUAAGUGCAGCGGGCAGACAAUGAAACGUUUCACACAGAGUUAUGGAAAAACCAUUUGCAAAAUUGUUUAGCUAAAUACAAACUGGAGAUACUUUACAUUAUCCAGCACAA
Sapajus apella (tufted capuchin) is the source of this 2412-nucleotide long non-coding RNA. RefSeq lists it as uncharacterized. The record is from RefSeq and is a predicted model, not a curated record. The transcript is spliced from 2 exons. Lineage: Eukaryota; Metazoa; Chordata; Mammalia; Primates; Cebidae.